This 597-nucleotide ribosomal RNA is filed under the name Triticum aestivum (bread wheat). RNAcentral's name for it is "partial small subunit ribosomal RNA". Lineage: Eukaryota; Viridiplantae; Streptophyta; Magnoliopsida; Poales; Poaceae. The record is from RNAcentral.
AUGUCAGGCAAAAAGUUUCAAUCUAUUGCAACCAAGUCAAUUGUUUCCAUGCUUAGGAAAAAACCUAAGGAUGUUGUCGAUGAAAGACGCUCCGGUUGCUCUCAAAGAACCAUGGAGUCCAGCACAAAAACACCGGAAGAGAGGCACUAUGUGAGUAUGCAGUGGGCAUUGUUUUUCUACGAGUGUGGCAUUCCUUUCAAUGUUGCAAGCUCUAGGCAAUUCCAGAUUGCAAUAGAAGCCUCUUGUCAAUAUGGCUCGGAUGGCUGGUCCGAUAAAAGGGGACGCUACUUGAUCAACUUCCUUGUAAACAGCCCGGCGGGCACUUACUUCUUGGAGUUGGUUGAUGCAUCAAGUGAAUGCCAAGAUGCUCGGAUGAUAGCAGAUUUGCUAGAGAAGAGAAUCGAGGAUGUCGGUAAAGAGUAUGUUGUCCAAGUUGUCACCGACAAUGGUGCUAACUACAAGGCAGCGGACAAGAUACUAAUGGAAAGGAUUCCUACACUAUAUUGGAGUCCAUGUGCAUGCCAUUGCUUGGACCUAAUCUUGGAAGAUAUAGGGAAGCUAAAGGCAUUUAAGAAGCCUAUUGCACGGGGUAGAUGA